This 123-nucleotide ribosomal RNA is filed under the name Erythranthe guttata (spotted monkey flower). Lineage: Eukaryota; Viridiplantae; Streptophyta; Magnoliopsida; Lamiales; Phrymaceae. The record is from RNAcentral.
GGGUGCGAUCAUACCAGCACUAAUGCACCGGAUCCCAUCAGAACUCCGAAGUUAAGCGUGCUUGGGCGAGCGAGAGUAGUACUAGGAUGGGUGACCCCCUGGGAAGUCCUCGUGUUGCACCCC